Pteropus vampyrus (large flying fox) is the source of this 119-nucleotide ribosomal RNA. The record is from Ensembl. NCBI's taxonomy places the organism in Eukaryota, Metazoa, Chordata, Mammalia, Chiroptera, Pteropodidae.
GCCUACAGCCAUGCCACUCUGAACAAUCCCAAUCCUGUCUGAUCUCAGAAGCCAAACAGGGUCAGGCCUGGUUAGUACUUGGAUGGGAAACCACUAGGAAGGAUCAAGUGGCUUAGACA